Molecule: non-coding RNA, 1406 nt
Organism: Delphinapterus leucas (beluga whale)
Lineage: Eukaryota; Metazoa; Chordata; Mammalia; Artiodactyla; Monodontidae
Source: RefSeq, a predicted model, not a curated record
CUUCCUUCCUUCCUUCCUCUCUCACUUUUUGUCUCUUUCUUUUCUUUCAUCCUAUCUAUCUAAAUGGGACUUAUUAUGAGGAAUCGGCUCACAAGAUUAUGGAGGCUGAGAAAGACCCAUGAUCUGCCGUCUGCAAGCUUGAGACCCAGCAAAGCCAGUGGUGUAAUUCAUUUGGGGUCUGAAGGCCUGAGACCCAGGGGAGCUGAUGAUAUACAUCCCAGUCUGGGGGCUUGACGUGAUGAGAUGAGAUGUCCGAGCUCUAGCAGUGAGAAGGAGGAGAUGAGGGCUCUCCAUAUUGUGACCUUCCGCUGAAUAUUCCAAGCUGCGGGAGAUCUUCAUAUAUUAAGAUCUUCCUUUACCAUCGUUCGUCAGCCAACUGUGAUGUUCCACGGCAAGCCUUGACCAGCUUUGAGGACAGCUCUGGAGCGCUCCUGUGGGGUCGUGAUGGUCACAUCCCCGCCACUACAUCGUAAGACUUCCGUUCCUAGUCAUUGCCAGCUAUUACAUUUUGGGCCACCUUUGGAGACAUUGGAUACCUCUGAACACAGUUCACCAGAACAGCAUCAAGGAGUGCAACGUGCAAAGGAGUAGAAAGCGAAGGGAAAGACCCCUUCUUAUCGUCAGACCAGACUCUCAUGUGCUUUUGUGGAAUAAGUAUUUUGUACCAGGACUGGACAACAAAGUGGGUUCCUGAUGAGAGAAGAUAAAAGGAAUGACCGCAUUGGCCAGGAUGGGGAUAUCAAAGGCCUUCUCUUCCCUCUGGCCAGCUGCUCAGCUCCUUGGAGCAAAACAACCCGUCUGUCUCUGGGAUUUGUGUUAGACCUGAUCCUGCUGUGGCUUUUCCCAGACUGUGUAAGGCAAGUUCCCUGCUUAUUAUCCUUGUUUAGACUCAGCUAAACUCAUAAACAGGACCUCUUAGGUUGCUGCUAUUGUUUUGAAACUUUCUGGGCUUUGAAGAUGGUCUGUAAUUGAUUUAUUAAUUACAGAAACUCGAAUUCUUGGUUCAUUAACCCUCACAGCUCCCAACUCUUGGUGCAAAUGGAAUAACUUAGUUGAAGUGCAGCUGAAUUAUCUAAACCUGCAAAAGAUUUUAAAUGGUUGCUGUUUGACCUUGUGGUAUAUGUGUGGCAAACUGUUCUCUGAACCCCAUACAGGACAUGUAAGAAAGGAGAUUUGAAAUCAAAACUGUCCUGGGAGUGAGUCGUAUGGUCACUUUAUGUAUAUUGCAUAUUACUUGGUUAACGAAGUCAUUUGCCUAAACUUGUUUUGCUUAGACAGAUAUUAUAACUACUUGUAUUCUAUAACCCCACACCAAUUUGAAGGUAUGGCAAACAGUUGUGGGUAAGAGAAAGACGGGAAGAGACAAACUGGUUCAGGUGUUCUGAAUGAAUGUUUUGGAGAUACAG